ACUCCUACGGGAGGCAGCAGUGGGGAAUUUUGGACAAUGGGGGCAACCCUGAUCCAGCAAUGCCGCGUGAGUGAAGAAGGCCUUCGGGUUGUAAAGCUCUUUUGUCAGGGAAGAAACGGUUCUGGCUAAUAUCUGAACUAAUGACG
RNAcentral lists this ribosomal RNA (146 nucleotides) under uncultured nitrogen-fixing bacterium. RNAcentral's name for it is "partial 16S ribosomal RNA". It matches the Rfam family "Bacterial small subunit ribosomal RNA", at positions 335 to 474 of the family's 1533-position model. The record is from RNAcentral.